AUUUUUGUAUUUUUAUCUAUCGAAGAUCACCUAAAUGUUCUUUUCACUUACCAUAGGUAUGCAUUGCACAAUCAUGGGCACAAUAAUAGUUCAGAAGAAAGAAAAGACCACCCAGAAAUGCUGAUGAAAAUGAAAUAAGGCCUGAAAGGAAAAAAUUCAGAGUCACUUUUAUUAGAAGAGCUCACAGGAGAAGGGGAUGAGAUCUCCCUGCCCUCUUCAAUCACCACUGGAGAGGAAAAAGCUCCCAGAAAACAGGUGUCAGGAGCACUGAACUCCACCCUUGUUCAGUCACUGGUGUCUUUGUGCAGCACUUUCCCAAUGCUCCUGGAGCUGGCACCUUCCUGCACUAGAGUUUGUCUUCUGCUGCCUCACUGUCCGGUGCUGCAUCACUGUUCUGUGCUGUGAGUAUCCAGCCCAUGGUGACUGCUGUACACACCCAACCUUCCUUCUCUUAGAGACUUCAG
RNAcentral lists this long non-coding RNA (464 nucleotides) under Zonotrichia albicollis (white-throated sparrow). Its description in RNAcentral is "lncRNA (ENSZALG00000012641.1)". The record is from RNAcentral. Lineage: Eukaryota; Metazoa; Chordata; Aves; Passeriformes; Passerellidae.